GGGGGAUAUUGCACAAUGGAGGAAACUCUGAUGCAGCAACGCCGCGUGAGGGAAGACGGUUUUCGGAUUGUAAACCUCUGUCCUUGGUGACGAAACAAAUGACGGUAGCCAAGGAGGAAGCUCCGGCUAACUACGUGCCAGCAGCCGCGGUAAUACGUAGGGAGCAAGCGUUGUCCGGAUUUACUGGGUGUAAAGGGUGCGUAGGCGGCUCUGCAAGUCAGGCGUGAAAUAUAUGGGCUUAACCCAUAGACUGCGUUUGAAACUGUGGAGCUUGAGUGAAGUAGAGGUAGGCGGAAUUCCCGGUGUAGCGGUGAAAUGCGUAGAGAUCGGGAGGAACACCAGUGGCGAAGGCGGCUUACUGGGCUUUAACUGACGCUGAGGCACGAAAGCAUGGGUAGCAAAC
This 403-nucleotide ribosomal RNA is filed under the name uncultured bacterium. RNAcentral describes it as "bacterial SSU rRNA". It matches the Rfam family "Bacterial small subunit ribosomal RNA", at positions 356 to 773 of the family's 1533-position model. The record is from RNAcentral.